RNAcentral lists this ribosomal RNA (547 nucleotides) under uncultured bacterium. Its description in RNAcentral is "bacterial SSU rRNA". It matches the Rfam family "Bacterial small subunit ribosomal RNA", at positions 361 to 918 of the family's 1533-position model. The record is from RNAcentral.
AUCUUGCGCAAUGGGCGGAAGCCUGACGCAGCCACGCCGCGUGCGGGAAGAAGGCCUUCGGGUCGUAAACCGCUUUCAGGAGGGAAGAAGCGAGAGUGACGGUACCUCCAGAAGAAGCCCCGGCCAACUACGUGCCAGCAGCCGCGGUAAUACGUAGGGGGCAAGCGUUGUCCGGAAUCAUUGGGCGUAAAGGGCACGUAGGCGGCCACGUAAGUCGGAUGUGAAAUCCCGGGGCUCAACCCCGGAACUGCAUCCGAUACUGCGUGGCUUGAGGAAGGUAGAGGAGAGUGGAAUUCCCGGUGUAGCGGUGGAAUGCGCAGAUAUCGGGAGGAACACCAGCGGCGAAGGCGGCUCUCUGGACCUUUCCUGACGCUGAGGUGCGAAAGCGUGGGUAGCGAACAGGAUUAGAUACCCUGGUAGUCCACGCCGUAAACGAUGGGUGCUAGGUGUGGGGAUCAGUUCACGAUCUCCGUGCCGAAGCUAACGCGUUAAGCACCCCGCCUGGGGACUACGGCCGCAAGGCUAAAACUCAAAUGAAUUGACGGGG